CUCAAGAAACCUACGAAAGGUAAUUCGGACGGGGGCCCGCACAAGCGGUGGAGCAUGUGGUUUAAUUCGAUGAUACGCGAGGAACCUUACCUGGGCUCAAAUGUAUGUUGACGUAUUCUGAAAGGGAUACUUCUUCGGACAAUAUACAAGGUGCUGCAUGGUUGUCGUCAGCUCGUGCCGUGAGGUGUCGGGUUAAGUCCCAUAACGAGCGCAACCCUAUCAUUAGUUGCCAUCAGGUCAAGCUGGGGACUCUAAUGAAACUGCCUACGCAAGUAGUGAGGAAGGUGGGGAUGACGUCAAAUCAGCACGGCCCUUACGUCCAGGGCUACACACGUGCUACAAUGGCCGGUACAAAGGGCAGCUACCUGGUGACAGGAUGCUAAUCUCAAAAGCCGGUCUCAGUUCGGAUCGGAGUCUGCAACUCGACUGCGUGAAGUCGGAAUCGCUAGUAAUCGUGAAUCAGAAUGUCACGGUGAAUACGUUCCCGGGCCUU
Molecule: ribosomal RNA, 493 nt
Filed under: uncultured Sphingobacteriales bacterium
Lineage: Bacteria; Pseudomonadati; Bacteroidota; Sphingobacteriia; Sphingobacteriales
Description: bacterial SSU rRNA
Rfam family: Bacterial small subunit ribosomal RNA
Source: RNAcentral